RNAcentral lists this ribosomal RNA (301 nucleotides) under uncultured bacterium. RNAcentral describes it as "partial 16S ribosomal RNA". It matches the Rfam family "Bacterial small subunit ribosomal RNA", at positions 509 to 808 of the family's 1533-position model. The record is from RNAcentral.
CAGUCGCCGCGGGAAAACGUAGGUGGCAAGCGUUGUCCGGAAUUAUUGGGCGUAAAGGGCUCGCAGGCGGUUUCUUAAGUCUGAAGUUAAAGGCUGUGGCUUAACCAUAGUACGCUUUGGAAACUGUGUAACUUGAGUGCAAGAGGGGAGAGUGGAAUUCCAUGUGUAGCGGUGAAAUGCGUAGAUAUAUGGAGGAACACCGGUGGCGAAAGCGGCUCUCUUGCUUGUAACUGACGCUGAGGCUCGAAAGCGUGGGGAGCAAACAGGAUUAGAUACCCCCGUAGUCCCUGUCUCUUAUACA